GAAAUGCGAUAAGUAAUGUGAAUUGCAGAAUUCAGUGAAUCAUCGAAUCUUUGAACGCACCUUGCGCUCCUUGGUAUUCCUUGGAGCAUGCCUGUUUGAGUAUCAUGAAAUCUUCAAAGUAAAUCUUUUGUUAACUCAAUUGGUUUCUACUUUGGUAUUGGAGGUCUUUGCAGCUUCACACCUGCUCCUCUUUGUUCAUUAGCUGGAUCUCAGUGUUAUGCUUGGUUCCACUCGGCGUGAUAAGUUAUCUAUCGCUGAGGACACUGUAAAAGGUGGCCAAGGUAAAUGCAGAUGAACCGCUUCUAAUAGUCCAUUGACUUGGACAAUACUUUUAUGAUCUGAUCUCAAAUCAGACAGGACUACCCGCUGAACUUAAGC
This 378-nucleotide unclassified non-coding RNA is filed under the name plant metagenome. RNAcentral's name for it is "partial contains 5.8S ribosomal RNA, internal transcribed spacer 2, and large subunit ribosomal RNA". The stretch from base 1 to 105 matches the Rfam family "5.8S ribosomal RNA", at positions 50 to 154 of the family's 154-position model. The record is from RNAcentral.